GAGAAGGUAACAUCCAAACACACAGCUCAGCUGAUAGCCAGCGUUAUAUGCUACAAGAAAUCGGAAAAGCUCACUGGGAACUCUGUAAGCUGGCUAAUAACAUAAACAUCGUAUUCGGAGUACAAAACCUGCUGUUUAUGGUAAUAUCGGUUAUUGUGACAACGGGAUUGCUGUAUACCAUUUACGUUGCAUACAUGUUGGAAGAUGAGAUGUUUAACAAUCUUACAGCAAUAAUCCAGCCGCUUGCAUGGACGACCAUUUACAUUUACAAAAUUUGGGUGAUUAACCACUCGUGCGGGCGCGCCAGCGACGAGGCUCAAAGAACUGGAGAAGUUAUUUAUGGUCUCAUGAAACCAUGUGCACAAGAUCAGGAACUUCAAACGAAGAUUCAAGAGUUUUCAGUGCAGAUACUUCAGAAUCCCGUACAGUUUGAUGUCUGCGGAUUCUUCAUUAUGAAUUACACAUUUAUCCAAGCUGUGAUCGGAUAUAUAACAACCUAUCUGAUAAUCCUCAUUCAGAUGACGGAGGAACCAAAGAUCCAGGCCUCGAAUCAUUCUGCUAUUACACCGGAAGUUGAGCAGAAGAAUAAAGUACAAUGAAAGUCAUGGUGAAGAACAGAUUAGCAGACUUGGAUUGCGAAAAAGAAAUGGUGAAUUGAAGUACCGAAAGCAUUUAGAUUUCAUA
Molecule: unclassified non-coding RNA, 684 nt
Filed under: Neodiprion lecontei (redheaded pine sawfly)
Lineage: Eukaryota; Metazoa; Arthropoda; Insecta; Hymenoptera; Diprionidae
Description: putative gustatory receptor 28b, transcript variant X3
Source: RNAcentral